AUACUUACCUGGCAAGGGAGAUACCAUGAUCACGAAGGUGGUUUUCCCAGGGCAAGGCUUUAAACUUAAAAGCUUCUGCACAAC
Bos grunniens (domestic yak) is the source of this 84-nucleotide small nuclear RNA. Its record names the gene U1. It matches the Rfam family "U1 spliceosomal RNA". From Rfam's summary of the family: U1 is a small nuclear RNA (snRNA) component of the spliceosome (involved in pre-mRNA splicing). Its 5' end forms complementary base pairs with the 5' splice junction, thus defining the 5' donor site of an intron. NCBI's taxonomy places the organism in Eukaryota, Metazoa, Chordata, Mammalia, Artiodactyla, Bovidae. The record is from Ensembl.